AGCCUGAUGGUGUAGUGGUUACACAUCCUCAAGUUUUGAGGUGUAAGAAAAGGUUUGUGAGGAAGUCCCCUGUUCGACUCAGGGUCAGGCUG
Non-coding RNA from Mycena latifolia, 92 nucleotides. NCBI's taxonomy places the organism in Eukaryota, Fungi, Basidiomycota, Agaricomycetes, Agaricales, Mycenaceae. The record is from the annotation of a GenBank genome assembly.